This 62-nucleotide transfer RNA is filed under the name Biomphalaria glabrata. Its description in RNAcentral is "tRNA-Tyr". The record is from RNAcentral. Lineage: Eukaryota; Metazoa; Mollusca; Gastropoda; Planorbidae.
UUUUUGAAAGUGCUUAGCACAAAGGAUUGUAAAUCUUUCAUUUGAUAUUCUAUCUCAAAAUA